AAUCAGAAUUCCCGGCACACCGCCGCACACUCACGGCUCCCCUUCUCACGCUUGAGGAGCGAAAAUCUCCGGGUUUUUUCCACACGACCGACCCUUUCCCGGCCGGAGGGGCCUUUCCACCGCCCACAAGGCUACGGGCCCGCCCCCGGCUCCCUACAGACCAGCCCGGCCUCAUCACCACUACCUCUACAAGCCCCGCACGGGCCCGGGCAGCAGCACCGGCCUCACCUCAGCCACAGGCACCGACCGGCGGGGGGGAGCGGCCCGCCGCGGGGGGCUGCUAGCGCCGGGGGCGGCCGGGAGGUCCGUGAACAUCGGAGGCCGGACCGCUCCUUCCCCACCGGGCAGACCUCCCCGAGGAGUCCGCCGACCCCCACCGCGCCCCCCGGCCCGGCCAGCACCUCCUACCUGCCCGGUGCCCGGCGCGACCCGGCGCCUGAGGCGGAAGCGGCGGCGGAAGCGCUACGGUGGCCGCGCGGGGCCGGGCGGAAGUGCUGGGGGGGAGGUACCGCCUGCGCGCGCUGCCGGGCGAGGGGCGGCGCGGCGGAGGCCGAGGGAGCGGGCACCAUGUCGGGCCGAGAGGGCGGCAAGAAGAAGCCGCUGAAGCAGCCGAAAAAGCAGUCGAAGGACCUGGAUGAGACAGAUCUGGCAUUUAAACAAAAGCAGAAGGAGGAACAAAAGAAACUUGAGGAGAUGAAAGCAAAGGCUGCUGGAAAAGGGCCCCUCACCAGCGGUGGAAUAAAGAAGUCUGGCAAAAAGUAGUUUGGUGGAACUGCGGGGUGAGCAGCGAUGGAGUCGCUCAGUGGAUCUGCAGACUUCGGAGAGUCAUGAAAACUCACUGUCAUUUGGGAAACAUUGUACAUUUUGUUUAGUGGGAAUAAAUCGUUUUUGUUAAGAUGUAAUAUUUUCUCU
RNAcentral lists this long non-coding RNA (912 nucleotides) under Calidris pugnax (ruff). RNAcentral describes it as "lncRNA (ENSCPUG00000019841.1)". Lineage: Eukaryota; Metazoa; Chordata; Aves; Charadriiformes; Scolopacidae. The record is from RNAcentral.